RNAcentral lists this ribosomal RNA (486 nucleotides) under uncultured bacterium. RNAcentral's name for it is "bacterial SSU rRNA". It matches the Rfam family "Bacterial small subunit ribosomal RNA", at positions 36 to 524 of the family's 1533-position model. The record is from RNAcentral.
CCUGGCGGCGGCUUACCAUGCAAGUCGAACGAUGAAAUCUAGCUUGCUAGAUGGAUUAGUGGCGAACGGGUGAGUAAUGCUUAGGAAUCUGCCUAUUAGUGGGGGAUAACCAUCCGAAAGGAUGGCUAAUACCGCAUACGUCUUACGAGAGAAAGGGGGCUUUUAGCUCUCGCUAAUAGAUGAGCCUAAGUCGGAUUAGCUAGUUGGUGGGGUAAAGGCCUACCAAGGCGACGAUCUGUAGCUGGUCUGAGAGGAUGAUCAGCCACACUGGGACUGAGACACGGCCCAGACUCCUACGGGAGGCAGCAGUGGGGAAUAUUGGACAAUGGGCGAAAGCCUGAUCCAGCCAUGCCGCGUGUGUGAAGAAGGCCUUUUGGUUGUAAAGCACUUUAAGUGGGGAGGAAAAGCUUGUGGUUAAUACCCAUUAGCCCUGACGUUACCCACAGAAUAAGCACCGGCUAACUCUGUGCCAGCAGCCGCGGUAAU